UUUUACGAUUAUGUUCCUUAAGAUACCUUCACAUUUCACAUAAGAAGUAAAUAGAUUGUAUAAUGUAAUAUUAAUCGUAAAUCGUUAAAUUAAAUAGACCGUUUAAUAUAUCGUUAAUCGUAAAUAGUUAACUUAAAUGCUUUAUUAAUAAGACACGUUAACAAGAUACUUAUUAAAAAGACACAUACAAAUAUUGCUCAUUUUAAAUAUUUAAGUCAUUUAAAAAAUACAUAUCAGUGAAUACAGCAAGAGGCCAAAAGUUUCUUUAAUUUGGGAUUAAUCACCAAGAUCAAUCAAAACAGAGCUAGCUGCAUCGAAUGUGGUAAAGAUUGCGAGGUGCCUAGUGGUAGCACAACAGGGAUGAGAAGCCAUUUUAAAACAAAACACAAGACCAGCUUUGAAACACUAGUAGCAAAAGGAGCCAGGGUAAAAGCAAUAUCAAAAGCUACAACUUUCGAUGUCGAUGCAUGCUUUGACUCUGAUAACAACUAUAUACUUGACUCCUCUUCUAGUACUGGGCUAUCAAGAGCAGCCACUGUCAGAACCCCAGCCAGAAAAAGGUCAAGAAAAGAGCAAAUAUCUGGCGACGUAACACCAGCAAAGCGACAAAGAGUAUUUACCAAAAGUCAAGGCGGAGAUAGAAAGGUGUUUAACAACAGCACCGAUUCAUGAUAAUGGGAAUAUAAUUCGUUACAGAAAGAACCAAUUGUUUAAGUAUCCCAAACUUGCCCGCUUUGCCAGAAGAAAAUUGGCAAUUCCAACAGCUUCCUCCAGCUCUGAACAAGUGUUUAUCAACAGCUGUAUAUAUCUGUGGUGACAGGAGAACAAAUCUGUCAGCAUCCAAAAUUGAAAAACUUGAUUAUAUAAUAGAAAACUUAAGACAAAUAAAGAAAAUGAAUGAUUUCAACAACUUUAUAGUUUGAUUCAAUUUUUUGAAAAAAAAUUGAUUUUUUUUUUUCUUGUAAAUUUUCUUUGCCAUUAUUGUAGCACAAUAGCAAAUAACAAUGACCAAAUAAAAUUUAAGUUUUGAA
Molecule: non-coding RNA, 1031 nt
Organism: Hydra vulgaris (swiftwater hydra)
Lineage: Eukaryota; Metazoa; Cnidaria; Hydrozoa; Anthoathecata; Hydridae
Source: RefSeq, a predicted model, not a curated record